GCCUGGGUGGUUCAGUCGGUUGAGCGCCUGACUUUGGCUCAGGUCAUAAUCUCACAGCUCUGUGGGUUCGAGCCCCACAUUGGGCU
Transfer RNA from Felis catus (domestic cat), 86 nucleotides. It matches the Rfam family "tRNA". From Rfam's summary of the family: Transfer RNA (tRNA) molecules are approximately 80 nucleotides in length. Their secondary structure includes four short double-helical elements and three loops (D, anti-codon, and T loops). The record is from Rfam. NCBI's taxonomy places the organism in Eukaryota, Metazoa, Chordata, Mammalia, Carnivora, Felidae.